RNAcentral lists this ribosomal RNA (254 nucleotides) under uncultured bacterium. RNAcentral's name for it is "partial 16S ribosomal RNA". It matches the Rfam family "Bacterial small subunit ribosomal RNA", at positions 524 to 777 of the family's 1533-position model. The record is from RNAcentral.
GACAGAGGUGCCGAGCGUUAGGCGGAAUCACUGGGCUUAAAGCGUGUGUAGGCGGAUCGUUAAGUGUCUUGUGAAAUCCCACGGCUCACCCGUGGAACUGCUGGGCAUACUGGCGAUCUUGGGCCAACUAGGGGCAACUGGAACAAGCGGUGGAGCGGUGAAAUGCGUAGAUAUCGCUUGGAACGCCAAAGGUGAAAACAGGUUGCUGGGGUUGUGCCGACGCUGAGACACGAAAGCCAGGGGAGCAAACGGGG